AAAUCCUAAUGUUGCAAGAUAAAAAAUGAACUGAAUACCUCGCAACUAGAUAAAGGUGCAUUGCAGCCUGCUAGACCUAUCAGUAAUACUUACAACAUGCCUCCUCGGAUCAUGUACUCUAAAGAUGCAACGUCUUUCGUUUCAUCUAUUCUAUUAAAUAUAAAUUGAACUCAAACAAUCACAGUGAAUGGAAAAUAUCCUUGAAAAAAUAUGAUGCAGAUUCACACAAAAUUGGGAAGAAAAGGAUAGCUAUUAAGGAAUUAAAAAGACAAACACAAUUGCUGUUACAAAUAUCAUAAUGAAACUACCAAAGUAUAACUUUUAAUUAAAAUUAAAACAAAUGUAAUAGUGAACCAAUUCCACCAACCAUCUUUUACAAAUAUGAAAGGAAAUAAAAAUUAGAUGGUCGAUUUACUCUUACAAAAGACCUCUAGCAAUCAUUUCACGAUGAAGUUUCACCGCCUUCUCAUUCUUGCCAUUUUUUGACAAAGCAUGAAUAAGAGUUGUGUAAGUUAUGCCGUUAGGGGUGCAACCGUUAUCUUCCAUUUUUGACAUUAAGGACAAUGCUUCAUCAAGCAAGCCCUCUUUACAAAGCCCGUCAAACAUAACAGUAUACAUCCUGACAUCAAAACGGUAGCCUUUAAUCAAAAUAUCCUCAUAAAUCUCUAGUGCAUCCUUAAGUCUUCGAUUUUGGCACAGUCCAACGACAAGUAUAGUGUAUGUAUACAUAUCUAGCUGAAUUCCUUGGUCUUUGAUCUUUGCUAAUAAUUCAAUUGCUUUGUCAACCUGAUGGCUUUUGCACAAAGCAUCUAAUAUAGAAUUGUAAGUGAUCACAUUAGCACGUAGACCUCUAUCAUGCAUCUCAUCAAGAAGAUCCCAAACAUCAGAGAUUCUCCCCGAUUUGCAAAGCCCAUCAAUAAGCGAACUGUAUGUUAUAGUAUCAGGAGAGAUGUUUUUUAAAUACAUUUCUUUGAAGAGAUUCACGGCUUCAUCCACCAUUUUAUUCUUGCAAAAUCCAUUAAUCAUGACAUUGUAACUAUAAAUAUUAGGUUUCACUUCCGUUUGAGCAAUAGUGUUGAAUACAUACGUGGCCUUGUUCACUUCUUUAACCAAAAAAUAUCCAUCAAUUAAACAAGUAUAAGUAACAACAUCUGGCUUCACACCUUGUUUUAUCAUAACAGCUAAGACAACUAUAGCUUUUCUCACCUCUCGUUCCUUAGAUAAAGCAUUAAUCAGUGUAGUGAAAAUAAGAAUAUCCGGGCUGAUGUUUUUCAACAACAUUUCAUUUAACAAACAAAUAGCUUCUUUAGAUUGACCGACAAUGCAAAGGCCAUAUAUUAAAUUAGUGUAAGUGACAACAUCAGGAUAAAUAUUCUUGACAAUCAUUUCAGAAUAUAAAUGAAAAGCAUCACUCACAAGUUUAUCCUUGCAAAGACUAUUAAUGACUAUACUGUACAUUACCACGUUUGGUUUAACCAUUAAGUAUAUGUUUGGUUUCAAUUCUGGAGCAUCCAGAAUUGAUUCUGGACGUGUAGAAUUGAUUCUGACUUGUUUGGUUUCUCAAAAGUAGAAUUGAUUCUGCCUCCAGAAUUGAUUCUACUUGAAGCUAGAAAUCGUAGCUUCUGAUUCUAGAAUUGAUUUUUACACUCGAAUUUUUUGUUCAACUCACUUUUUCAUGAAUAUAUCCAAACAUAAACCACUUCAGCUUAAAAUCAAUUUUGGCCAGAAUCAAUUUUACAGAAUCAAUUCUGCCAAAAUCAAUUCUCUCCGCCGCAGAACCANNNNNNNNNNNNNNAUCAAGAUUCCAUAACUAACUUGAUCAAGCUUAAACCCCUUGGAUAUAACGUCGUCAUGAAAACCCAAUGCUUCUUUAACCUGACCACUAAGACACAUGCCUUUCAUAAGUGCAGUCAUUGUUAUCAUAUCAGGCUCAUAACCUAGCUUGAGAAUUUUUGCCAAUACAGAAAAUCCAAAAUCUAGUUGAGCUAGUUGGCAGAAACAAUUGAGUAAGAUGUUCAAAGUAUGAAAAUUAGGUUGAAUUCCUUUGAGUUCCAUUUGAUUAGAGAGGGAAAUAACAAUGUGAAACUGCUUCUUUCUAACAAGGGAACCUAACAUCUUACUGAACGAAGAAUCAUCAGCAGCAUCAACAUUAACAACAGGAUUGAAUGAAGAAACAGCAGCAUCAACAUCAACAAGUAGAUUAUGAUGUAAUUGGAAAUUGGAAGACACAAACUGUUGGGAAUUGGAAUGAGCAUGAGAGUAAAAACGUCGACGAUUGAAUUUGUUGGAAGGAGAAAGAGUGAUAGCAGAAGCAGCACCGUUACUUAACACUGAAAAUGACAUUCUAACAGUUGAGAGUGAAGAAUGAGAUGUUGCGUUGCGACUGUGGUAGUGAUUCGGUUUUAUGUUGCUGCAACAGCAACUCAGUUUUGGAUAAGAUUGAUAAUCCUCUGCAGUCAAAAUCUCUCAAGUGCUCUUUACUGCUCUAUUUUCAGCCACUUGAUUAAAUCAAACGGCACAAAUAUAAACCGAAAAAAUAAAAAAAUAAAAAAACUGAAAAAAGUAAUGGUGAAACGGAAGUAAUUAACAGACACGACGGCAUCAUCGUGGCUGACGAUGGCAGCGACUACUCCGGUUGAUUUUGCAGAAGUGGCGGAGAAGGCUCUCUUUUGAAUUGAUUCCACUGCUUACUGUAAUUGGUGCAACGGAAGCGGCUGUGACUUCUUUUAUCUAAUUUAAUCUAUAUAAGAAUAUUAGUUGGCAUAACUAUAAACUACUCUCGGUUAAAUUGUUGCCACGCCAUGUGUCAUAAAUAAGAGUAAUUGAUGUCCCAAAAUUUAAUAACGGAACUAAAAGUACAUAUCAUUUCUGAUGGAAUCAAGUCAUAUGAGCCAUUUUUUUAGUUUGUGAGUGAAAAAGUGUUUUAUCAAACUAGUUUUUACAUUGUAACUAAGUCUGCCACAUUUUGCACUUUUUGAGUGAAAAUUCGGUUUGUGGAACUAAAUCGUCUAAGCCAUGUGAAUAAGUCACUUUCAAACUUUUUUGGGUUCCAAAUGUCUCAAAUCAAAUUUCAAAUAUCUUUUAUUCAAAUUUCUACUUUCUUUCUCAAACUCACGUUCUUCCUUUAAAUCUUACAUUUCUCUCUCUCUUCCUACCCUAAAUUUUAAUUAAUAUAUAAAUUUUAACUAUCGUAUACGGGAUAAAUUAUCACCGAUAAAAAAUUUAAAAUAAAUAUCAUUUGUGAGACAAAUUAUAACUAAUAAAAAUUUCAAAAAAAACUAAUUGACACGGGAUAAGUUUUAACUGAUAUAUAAAUUUAACUAUCUUAUACGGGAUAAAUUAUUACUGAUAAAAUAUUCAAAGUACUUAUCAUAUGUGACACAAGUUAUUACUAAUAAAAAUUAAAAAAAAAUAAAUAAAUCAAAAAAACUAUUUUAUACGGGUUAAGUUCUAACUAAUGUAAAUUUCAAACUAACUAUGAUAUAUGGGGCAAUUGUAAUUGAUAAAAUUUUUAAAAUAAUUAUCNNNNNNNNNNNNNNNNNNNNNNNNNNNNNNNNNNNNNNNNNNNNNNUUUAAAAAAAAAAAAAAAACUAUCUUAUACGGGAUAAGUUCUGACUUAUAUAAAUUUCAAAUUAAAUAUCAUAUACGAGACAAUUUCUAACUGAUAAAAAUUUCAAAAUGAUUAUCAAAUAUAUGAGACAGAUUCUUGCUAUUAAAAAAUUUAACAUUUUUGGUAUCCAAAAUAACUAUCAUACCUGGGGCAAAUUAUACUACUAAAUUUCAAAUAUCUUUUGCAACUUUACCUUUGGUCAAACAUAUUUUUGGUGAAAUUUUUUCUAGAUAGAUAAAAUGGUAAAAUUAGAAUAAACCUUCAAUUUGAUCCUUAAAUUAAUGAUAUAUCUUUAAUUUAGUUUUCAAACUAUCAAAAUAUACUAAACAAUCCCUAAAUUAUUGUUAAUACAUCAAUUUAACCCCUCAAUUCUUUUAAAAACAUGUGAGAAAAUCAUAGUUUAAGGACCAAAAUGAUGGAUUAUUAACAGUUUAAGGAUCAUUUAAUAUAUUUUUAUAGUGUAAGGAGGACCAUUAAAGAGAGAUUGAUGGUUCUCGAACUAAAUUGAAUGUUUAUUCGAUAAAAUUAUUAUAAAGUGAUACACAUAAUGACUACUUUAGUGAGGGAAUCGAAGUUUAAACCUUAGUCAUAACAUUCUCUUUAAUAAUUUGGAUAUUUUUUGUCAGUUAAAUUAGAAUAUGUGGACAUUUUUUAAUCAUGUAAUUAUUCAAAAUAGGUAAUCAAUAUAUUAUUUCAGACCAAUUGUCUCUGAAAAAAAAAGAAACAAAAUGCUAAGUUUGAAAAUUCUUUUUUGACAAUUGUUAAGAUUGAAAAUUGAAAUCUAUAUAUUAUAUGAAAAUGAGUGUAGGAGAGUAGUGCUAUUUAGCACAACUUUAACCAACGAAAUUUAACUAUACAAAAUUGUAUAUGGAGAAUCAAUGAAAGAAAAAAAAAUUGUAUAUGGAGAAAUUCUAUGUUCAAAUGUACACGUAAAUUAAGUCAAUAAAUUAAUUAAUAAAUGAUAAUUUACUCUAUUAGUCUUAGUUAGUAGUCCCCCGUUCUAAAACUUUGAUUUUUUAGAGUUUUGCACAUGCAUUAAGAAAUAAGAGUUAAAUAUGUUUUUAAUUUUUAUAAAUAUCUCAAAUGAAGGAAAAUCAACGAAGAAAAGAAGGCUCAAGGAAGGAGAUAGACAUCACAGAGUAAGGCUGGAGAAACAAUAAUAAUCUUCCUUAAAAUUUAAAAUGCAUUAUGGAAAUAAAACAUAUACAGGUGUUCAAGUCUACAAAUCUAAUGCAUUAGGUAAGAAGAGAUAUUGUCUCAACAAUGAAGUCAUUCCUUCACUGCAUCAGCUACUCAAAAACACAACAUAACCAGGUUUCGCACAGCAUCUAAGGCCUCUACGCAUCGCCACUAUAGCAGCCACAAAUGUCAACAUAAUAAAUAAGUCAUGAAACCUACCUAGUAUUAGGUAAAAAUUGUUGGGAAAAACCGGCAUAGAGAAAAUAAAAGAACGCAAUCAACAACACAAGNNNNNNNNNNNNNNNNNNNNNNNNNNNNNNNNNNNNNNNNNNNNNNNNNNNNNNNNNNNNNNNNNNNNNNNNNNNNNNNNNNNNNNNNNNNNNNNNNNNNNNNNNNNNNNNNNNNNNNNNNNNNNNNNNNNNNNNNNNNNNNNNNNNNNNNNNNUAUGAUGACAGAUACAAUAAUUGUAAAUAUCAAAGCUCACAACAAUGCUAGAUGAAGUUUGACACACUAUAAAGUAUUAAAAAAUCAAACUAGAAUAAUAGAAAAGUUCUGAAGUAGUGAAGUCAUAAAUGUAUAACAAAUUAUUAGCAAGGUACAAAGAGGAAGACAAUGAAUUGCAACAAUUCAUCUGAAAAUCCUGUGGAAUUCGUACAUCUUAAUAAACCGGCUUUCUAGCAUCACCUUUGGUCAAUUUUUCUCUCAAUUAUAAGCUCAAGUCUUGAAAUGGGUUGAGUGAAUGCAAGCUUGCUCCAGCAACCCUUUUUGACCAGGAAAAUGACUUGAUUUAUGUUCCGCUACCCUUUCCGGCCGGGAAAAUGAAAAACUGGUGUAUGCCAAUCUUGCUCUGGCAGUUGGAGUUUAAAUGCAUCUAAUCCUAAAGUUGCAAGACCAAAAAUGAACGAAAUACCUCGCAACUAGCUAAAGGUGCAGCCUACUAAACACAAACCAUUGUUUAUGGGGUCUAAUAUUUGGACCUGGUCCUCUGCAGCAUAUGCAGAGAUGGUAGAUCAACUCUACCAUAGCUGCUCGACAGUAGAUGAAUGAACUGUAGAGGGUCUCCAUUAUCUACAAAUUGCUUCAUGUGUGUCAGCUAUACUCUUUUAUUUACAUUGUAAUUACCCUUCCAUAUUCUGCAAUAUAACAGUGUUACAACAUCUUUCAUUUCAUUGAAUUUAUUAAAUAUAGAUUGAAAUUUAACAAUGCCAGUGAAACACAAUUGUCGUUACUAAGGAACAAAAAAAGUCAAACACAAUUGCUGUUAUAAAUAUCAUUUUGAAACUACCAAAGUAUAACUUUUAAUUAAGAUUAAAACAAAUGUAAUAGUGGGUCAAUUGCACUAACCUUUUUCUUUAUAACUAGGAAAAGAAAUAAAGAUUAGAUGGUAGUUUUCAAAUUCAAAAUAAUAAAUUGUAACUUGAAAGCAUCUCACCUAGUUUCGCUCUUAUAAAAGAGCUCUAGCAAUCAUUUUACGAUGAAGUUUCACUCACCGCCUUCUCAUUCUUGUCGUUUUUCAACAAAGCACGAAUAAGAGUGAAUGCAACCUUGAAAUGGGUUGAGUGAAUGCAAGCUUGCUCCAGCAACCCUUUUUGACCGGGAAAAUGACUUGAUUUAUGUUACGCUACCCUUUCAGACCGGAAUAAUGAAAAACUGGUGUAUAAGAUCCUGAUAAACCACUUGUGCAUCCUUAAGUUUUCCAUUUCUGCAUAGUCCAUCAACAAGUACAGUGUAUGUAUACAUAUCUAGCUGAAUUCCUUGGUCAUUGAUCUUCGCAAAUAAUUCAAUCGCCUUGUCAAACUGAUGGUUUUUGCACAAUCAAUCCAAUAUAGAAGUGUAGGUGAUCACAUCAGCAGGUUGGCGUCUAUCAUGCAUCUCAUCAAGAAGGUACCAAACAUUAGAGAUUCUCCCCGAUUUGCAAAGUCCGUCAAUAAGUGAAUUGUAUGUUACAGUAUCAGGAAACUUGUUUUUUAAAUACAUUUCUUUGAAGAGAUUCAUGGCUUCAUCCACCAUUUUAUUCUUGCAUAAUCCAUUUAUCAUGACAAUGUAGCUACAAACACUAGGAACCACUCCCCUUUGAGCAAGAGUGUUGAACACAUAUUUGGCCAUGUUCACUUCAUUAACCAAGAAAUACCCCUCCAUUAAAGAAUUAUAAGUAACAACAUCCGGUUUCACACCUUGUUUUAUCAUAACAGCCAAGACAUUUGUAGCUUUUCUGACCUCUCCUUCCUUAGAUAAACCAUCAAUCAGUAUAGUAAAAGUAAGAACAUCCGGGCUGAUGUUUUUCAACAACAUUUCAUUUAACAAACCAACAGCUUCUUUGAAUUGACCCA
This 7119-nucleotide long non-coding RNA is filed under the name Trifolium pratense (red clover). RNAcentral's name for it is "long non-coding RNA (TPRA_LNC012370)". Lineage: Eukaryota; Viridiplantae; Streptophyta; Magnoliopsida; Fabales; Fabaceae. The record is from RNAcentral.